Molecule: long non-coding RNA, 2049 nt
Organism: Canis lupus familiaris (dog)
Lineage: Eukaryota; Metazoa; Chordata; Mammalia; Carnivora; Canidae
Exons: 6
Source: RefSeq, a predicted model, not a curated record
ACCCUGGGGCCCAGGUUGCAGUUUAUUGAUGGCUCAGAGUUUAUGAAUUGAUGCCCUCAGCAGGUUGCUGCCCUGAUGAAUGGCAAUUACUGCGGCUCCCACAGAGGCAAUUGUAGUCAGAGCAUUUACUCCUUUCAAAUAAUUGCCCCUGAGAAGUUGAACAGUAAACCCAGUGCACCGAAAACAGCCAGGUAUCUCUCCUUCAAGGCAAUCUGCCCAUCGUUAUUCAAAGUACUAGGGGUUUAAAAAGUGUCUUAGCAUCAUCAUAUUUCAGACUGAGAAAAGACAGAUCUGUUUUUUCCUACUCAAAAGGAGUGGAGUGAAAUCCAAGUCCUCCAAAAAAGAGACGGAAUGCUGUUCUACCUCACUACUCACUCCUACUCCAAACUUUAACUUUUGGACUCACAUCAUUUUUAGAAUGUUAAGCCAUUUUUCAAAGACAUUAGACUCCCAAGAGACCACGAAGUUACGACAUUGAAAACAACCCAGAGUGUUCACAGCAUCGCAAACUGCACUCCUUCCACCCUCCAGUCUUUCGAAAGGAGGUUUGGGAAGACAUGAGCUGUUGAGAAGUUGCCAGUUAAGAAGUCAGUUUGGAAGCCACUUUAAACCAAAGUUGCGUAAUCAGAACUGUUGGUCUUAAGAAUUAAAAUUCACUGGAAUAUUUGACACUCAGCAUGUAUCAAGUCCAUCCCUUAAAAUGAAAAUUAUUGGCUGACCAACUAAUAAUUGGAUGGGCCUAACAGUACAAAUAAUGACUGAGAAGACUGAAGAGGCCAAUCUGAAAGGGCAGACUACAUUUCCCAGCCUUCCUUGCAAUGUUCUGUGGAUAGAACUAAUGUGAGCCAUUUCUGGAAUUGGCCUGUAUAAUCUUCCUGCCAAUAAACCUUCAUUCUGCCUCUACAUUGUUCCUCUCCAUGUGAGGGCUGAAUCUUGAGAACUUUAAGUACCCAGAGGGGGGCAGAGCCACACAAGAGCAAAGCCGCAAGAGAAAAGUUUUUCUUUGAAGGAAAGCCAGACAUUUUUUUUUUAAUUUUCUGAUAUAUUCUUUAAUCGAAAUGAGAAAAAAUAAGAAAUAAUAAGAAAAUCAACAACAUAAUUUUUAAAAAGUGGACAAAAUACUUGAAGAAAUAGUAAGAAACAAUAAGAAAAUCAACAACCUAAUAAAAAAAGUGGGGAACAUAUUUGAAGCAGAUACAACAAAGAAGAUAUACAGGUGGCAAAUAAGAGCAUAAAAAGGUGCUCCACAUCAUUUGUCUUUAGAGAAAUGCAAAUUGAAAUCAUAAGAUACUAGUCACAUCUAUUAGAAUGGCCACAAUUAAAAAAAUUUCACAAACCAAUGUUGACAGGGAUUUAAAUCAACUACAACUCUCACACACUGCAAAUAGGCACGCAAAAUAGUACAACCACUUAAGGAAACAAUUUGGCAGUUUCCUAAAAAGUUAAACAUAUAACUACCAUGCGAUCAGCAAUUCCACUCUAGGUAUUUCGUCAAGAGAAAUUACAGUAUAUGUGCACACAAAGAUUUAUACAUAAAUAUUCAUAAAGCUUUAUUUACAAUAGUCCAAAACUGAAAUAACUCAAAUGUUCAUUAACAGGUAAAUGGAUAAAUAAAUUGUGACAUAUCCAUACAAUGGAAUACUGAAAUAAGCAACAAUAUUGGUUGAAAAUCUAAAUCAACCCAGAACAUUGCAUUAUGCUGCUGUAUACCUGAGAAUAAACUUUUAUUAUAUUAAGCCCUAACAUUUGGAAUUUGUAGUUAGCUUAUCAUGACUAAUUUGAAAAGAUUCCAAGAAUGAAAAGCAGAAAGACUUCCAUCAACAUUCUAGAAUCAGUAUCAUUUAUGGAUGUUAAGCAUGGAUUGGAAGGCUAUAAAAAUAGGUAUCUUCCUUAGUUAAUGUCAGAAUUUAAUCAUCACUAGAGUGAGAAUUCUUCCAAUAUCUUUUUUAAAAAUGGGAAUAUUCAGGGAGAGAAAAUGUGCUUUCAUUAGGCCAUUUUCCACAUAAUAGGAAAAAUGGGAGUAACUUCAGAGAAAAGUAUGAUGUUUGA